AUGAACUUGAAUCCCAGUUGGAAGAAGAAUCGCAUGGAGGUUGGUUUUAUGAUUCUUUAGGGCUUACGUGAACUUCUAAAGAAAAAAGAGGAAACUUGUGAACCGCGUUUACUAUUUCAUGUCUGCAGUAUAAUGUCUUCUCAGUAUACAAAAGGUAAAAGUAAUGGAAAAAGGGAAUCCUAUUUCCAAACUUCAUUUGCUAGACGGGACGGCUAGCAGACUUUUGUGUAACCCAAGUAUUCUUUUCAUAUUCAGCGCUGUGAAGGAAGAGUAUCAAGAGAUAAAUAUGCAGUAUUUUUUUUCUGUCUUUCCACUUUGCUCAGCAGAUGCUCUCCAUGGAAUCACUGUACCUUGGUGGGCUGUUAUUAAGGCCAAUCUUUCUAACCACUUAUUCAAUGAGUACGAUAGUAUGUUGUACUUUCCUGUGAGAGACAAUGAGGAAGCUUGGAUACCAAUUGUACUGCCGAAUUUGGUGAAUGUGGAUCUUCUGCUUCAUCAUUGUUUGUCUGGCCUGGUAUAUCUCAAGGAAGGUAUAACGACUGUUUGUAGGAUUUGGAAGUGACUUAUGCAGAUAGCAGUGUAUUUUUUGUAGGAGAGUUUCUUUGACCUGAGUGAGUGUGAUUUUCAGAGAAAGAAUCUCUUUUGUCGCUUUCCUUUCCCAGCCUUCUCAAGUUUCGCUAGUAUGUAGAAAUUUGCAGAAGCAAUAGACAUCCUUGGUCUAUCCUGGUUUGAGGAUAGCAAUUGGCUGAUUACGCUCUGGUCUAUGGAAUUUUAUAUUCUAUAGAAGCUUAGAGAUUCUAUUGAUAUCAACUCUGAACAGUAUUUUGGCUUUUUUGUCGGUAUUUUGACCGUGCCGCUUGUAAUCUUCAUGCGAAGAAGAUUCAUGCAGGAAAGAAUCAAAAAUCGACUAGUUGACACAAUGUACUUUCCAACAAUGGUGAACGCGGUUCCAUCUUUCUCAAAAGUGAAAACACUCGUGUAUAGUGGGACUUCUUUAUUUCUUAGUUUUUCAUGUAAUCAAGCGUAGUUAGAAAAAAAAGAGAAGGGGAUGCUCUUGUUGUUUUAGAAAUUGCCAAUCUUGUUUUUUUAUAAAGGAAUGAGAUCCAACGUGAUCAAAGUUUCGUACUUGUUCAUUCCGUUAUAAAAAGAUUAAGUAGGCAAUGUUCACUUCACUUGGGAUCCUCUUUUCAUACUAACUAUUGUCCCUAUAGAGUGCAUAUUACCAACCCUACUUUAGAUUUGAGAAUUUGCAUAUUGGGAAUUUUUUUUCUCUCUCUUUUUACUAUACUUAUCG
This 1294-nucleotide non-coding RNA is filed under the name Schizosaccharomyces octosporus. Lineage: Eukaryota; Fungi; Ascomycota; Schizosaccharomycetes; Schizosaccharomycetales; Schizosaccharomycetaceae. The record is from RNAcentral.